GGGCCCGCACAAGCAGCGGAGCAUGUGGUUUAAUUCGAAGCAACGCGAAGAACCUUACCAGAACUUGACAUCGUCUGAAUUACCCGUAAUGGGGGAAGUCCUUCGGGACAGAUAGACAGGUGGUGCAUGGUUGUCGUCAGCUCGUGUCGUGAGAUGUUGGGUUAAGUCCCGCAACGAGCGCAACCCCUAUUGCUAGUUGCCAUCAUUAAGUUGGGCACUCUAGCGAGACUGCCGGAGACAAUUCGGAGGAAGGUGGGGAUGACGUCAAAUCAUCAUGCCCCUUAUGUUCUGGGCUACACACGUGCUACAAUGGGUGUAACAACGAGACGCAAGCUAGUGAUAGCAAGCAAAUCUCUAAAAAACAUCCUCAGUUCGGAUUGUAGGCUGAAACCCGCCUACAUGAAGUUGGAGUUGCUAGUAAUCGCGAAUCAGAAUGUCGCGGUGAAUACGUUCCCGGGCCUU
Molecule: ribosomal RNA, 462 nt
Filed under: uncultured bacterium
Lineage: Bacteria
Description: bacterial SSU rRNA
Rfam family: Bacterial small subunit ribosomal RNA
Source: RNAcentral